GCACCCGUAGCUCAGCUGGAUAGAGCGCUGCCCUCCGAAGGCAGAGGUCAGGGGUUCGAAUCCCUUCGGGUGCA
This 74-nucleotide transfer RNA is filed under the name Aureimonas sp. Leaf460. It matches the Rfam family "tRNA". Rfam says of the family: Transfer RNA (tRNA) molecules are approximately 80 nucleotides in length. Their secondary structure includes four short double-helical elements and three loops (D, anti-codon, and T loops). RNAcentral also lists the same sequence under 1 other name. Lineage: Bacteria; Pseudomonadati; Pseudomonadota; Alphaproteobacteria; Hyphomicrobiales; Aurantimonadaceae. The record is from Rfam by way of RNAcentral.